RNAcentral lists this long non-coding RNA (392 nucleotides) under Panax ginseng (ginseng). RNAcentral's name for it is "long non-coding RNA (PGIN_LNC014092)". Lineage: Eukaryota; Viridiplantae; Streptophyta; Magnoliopsida; Apiales; Araliaceae. The record is from RNAcentral.
UUUGUGUUUAUCUAUCUCCUUGCUUUCGCUACAUUAAUGUCAGCCAAAUACUCUACUGAUGUAUGGUAAUUUCUUUUCUGCAGAAGAUUGACAAGGAAGGGACUAGUAAUCAAAAUGCCUAAUGGAUGUUGCUCUCAUAUAUUAGUUUGUAUUUUUCAGUUCCGUGGGUGGGUAUAUUAUGUGAACUUCUAGCCAGUUUUCUGUUUCAUUUAAUGAGACAGCAAAUCCUUACUUUAGCACUUGAGGUCUAGGUGAACAAUCUGAGAGUGUUUAUCUGGAUGUUAAAUAAAACUUUCUUUUUAUGUUUAUAGUUGAUACUAUAUUUUGUAUAAUUUGUAAGAUUAUAUUUUUUAUGUUUUAUUUUAUAUUGUACUUGUGUUUGUUGAAUAAAU